AGAGAGAGACAUGCGCGCAUAUCAAUAAGCGGAGGAAAAGAAACUAACAAGGAUUCCCUUAGUAACGGCGAGUGAAGCGGGAAGAGCUCAAAUUUGAAAUCUUCAAGGUUUUACCUUGACGAAUUGUAGUUUAAAGAAGUGUUUUCUGCUGAAGUUUUGGUAAAAGUUCUUUGGAAUAGGACAUCAUAGAGGGUGAGAAUCCCGUAUUUGACCAUUAUUUUCAGCUUUGUGAUACACUUUCAAAGAGUCGGAUUGUUUGGGAAUGCAGUCCAAAAUGGGUGGUGAAUUUCAUCUAAAGCUAAAUAUUGGCGAGAGACCGAUAGCGAACAAGUACCGUGAGGGAAAGAUGAAAAGAACUUUGAAAAGAGAGUUAAACAGUACGUGAAAUUGUCAAAAGGGCAGCGUUUGACACCAGUGUUGUUUUCUCGAAAAUCAAUUAAAAAUGGCUCGAUUUUGUAUUGCUGAGACCUUAAAAGCUCACUGUACAUUUUUCGUGUCUUUUUUAAUGCACUUUUCGUUUAACAAGUCAACAUCAGUUUCUUUUGUUGUAAAAGGGUCAUUGGAAGGUGGCUUUCUUUUCGGAGAAAGUGUUUAUAGCCUUUGGCCUCUGCAAUCGGAGAGACUGAGGUCUGCAGCGUAGACUCUUCGGGGUUAGAUACAUUUGUGCUAAGUUAUAGCUUUUUAUAGACAACUUGUUGACUAUAAUUAGUCUUGUAGCUUACUCGCUUAUGCUAUUUUACCUACGCUUAGGAUGUUGAAGUCAUCGUAUCGCGC
This 774-nucleotide ribosomal RNA is filed under the name uncultured Neocallimastigales. RNAcentral's name for it is "partial large subunit ribosomal RNA". It matches the Rfam family "Eukaryotic large subunit ribosomal RNA", at positions 23 to 645 of the family's 3401-position model. Lineage: Eukaryota; Fungi; Neocallimastigomycota; Neocallimastigomycetes; Neocallimastigales. The record is from RNAcentral.